Molecule: transfer RNA, 77 nt
Filed under: candidate division NC10 bacterium RIFCSPLOWO2_02_FULL_66_22
Lineage: Bacteria; Methylomirabilota (SeqCode)
Also listed under: 3 other names
Description: tRNA-Arg
Rfam family: tRNA
About the family: Transfer RNA (tRNA) molecules are approximately 80 nucleotides in length. Their secondary structure includes four short double-helical elements and three loops (D, anti-codon, and T loops).
Source: RNAcentral
GGCCCUGUAGUUCAGAUGGAUAGAACGAGGGCAUCCUAAGCCCUGCGUCGGGGGUUCGAGUCCUCCCAGGGCCACCA